Molecule: transfer RNA, 65 nt
Filed under: Graphocaecilius interpretatus
Lineage: Eukaryota; Metazoa; Arthropoda; Insecta; Psocodea; Sphaeropsocidae
Description: tRNA-Phe
Source: RNAcentral
AUUUAUAUAGCUUAUAUUUAAGAGUAUAACAUUGAAGCUGUUAGGGAAAUUAUUAUUUAUAAAUA